CUUAGUUUUUCUUUCUCUUUUUCCUACCGCCGUCGCUGCCGUAUAUUCAUUUCUUCGGCUCAGUCUUCUUCAUCUCACCUUUGCCUACCUCUCUAAUCGUCGCCUCACCUCCAAUUUAUGUUCAUUGUCUUCUCUUAUCUAUCAAAAGAUUGAAAGUUACGGAAGUUCUCAGUGAUUACAUGGCCUUGAAGGAGGAAAUCUUACAACUUACAAGUCAAAGCUUAUCUUUUGUAACUUAAAAAUAACACAUAUUGGAGGAAGCUACAGAACAUGAGGUAAAACUAUGAUAUAUAAUAUAUGAGAUGUAUUGAUUUUCAUUAAUCUCAGUUAAAAAUUUUAUACAUUUGUUAGCUUGUUCAAACUUGUUAUACAUUUGUAGUUUGUAAAGGUAACAACUUCUGGAUUUCA
Molecule: long non-coding RNA, 408 nt
Organism: Vicia villosa (hairy vetch)
Lineage: Eukaryota; Viridiplantae; Streptophyta; Magnoliopsida; Fabales; Fabaceae
Exons: 3
Source: RefSeq, a predicted model, not a curated record